RNAcentral lists this long non-coding RNA (4833 nucleotides) under Sus scrofa (pig). RNAcentral's name for it is "lncRNA (ENSSSCG00030065453.1)". The record is from RNAcentral. Lineage: Eukaryota; Metazoa; Chordata; Mammalia; Artiodactyla; Suidae.
UCCCUUGGUCUGGCCCAGUGGCUCACCCUUUCCUGUAGUUAAUAAUUUGCUCGAUAGAUGCUUAUGAAGGGGCUCGUUCACGUGCCAUGGGAAGUGGUAGAAUGUGGCGGGGAAAAGCAGGUUCUGGGUCUUAACAUCUGUGUUCACAUCCAGUCCUGACUUGUCUCAGAUAUGUGGCCCCGGUGAGUUAUACAGCCUCGCAGGAGCUCCGUUUCCAUACCUUUUAAAGAGGAUGGAUAAUUGUCCUACCCCACGAAGUUUUGUGAUGAUCAGAUGAGAUUAAUGCAGGGGAUGUGCUUAGAAUAAGGCCCUGGCACAUUGUAAAUGCUCAGUAAAUACUGGCUACUGUUACAAUAAAAACAGUAUUCCUUCCCGCCGUGGCUCAGCAGUUAACUCGAUUAGCAUCCAUGAGGACGCAGGUCUGAUCCAUGGCCUCACUCAGUGGGUUAAGAAUCCGGUAUUGCCGUGAGCUGUGGUGUAGGUCGCAGACGUGGCUCAGAUCCUGCGUUGCUGUGGCUCUGGUGUAGGCCGGCGGCUACAGCUCUAAUUCAACCCCUAGCCUGGAACCUCCAUAUGCCACGGGUGUGGCCCCCAAAAGCAAAAUUAUUAUUAUUAGACACUGUUUGCUCAGAAUGUAGCUGGGAAUCCAAUAGCCAUGGUUUCUUCCCUCAAGAAGCUGACAAGCCAGGAUGAGAGACAAACACUCGACAAACGUGUGCUGAUGUGUUAAAAUAAAAGCAGCAGGUACAGAGCUUCGGCUCCUAUGACCUGGCUACUGCACCCUUCUGUUCGCCGGCUCUCCAGCCCAUCUCUCCUCAGCUCUGUCACUGGCCUGGUGUUCUCUUUCCUUCCAAACGCAGUGACUCCACCAGACUCUGUGGUUGUCUCCUCCCCACGCCCCUGACACCCACCCCAUCUCUUCUGGGGAGGCAGCAGGGGAGCCUCGGAGGAGUGGAAGGCUUCGCAUCAUCAGGAAUCAUGGGGCGGGGGCAGGGGCGGGGCAGCAGCAGGCAGUGCUCAAGUGUGGGUGCACCUGCCUUCUUGGAGAGAGAUGGCUUCGGGUAGCCCCUCCACCCGGCGGUCCCGGCUCCCACAAGGCACCCACUGUCUCUGUGACUCACUUUAACCAUCUCUAAAAAGGAGAUGAUAAUACUCCGUACAUGGGUUAGUUGACCUUGUGUGUGUGUGUGUGUGUGUGUGUGUGUGUGUGNUGUACAUGGGUUAUGCUUGGUCCACACCGCGCUGGGGGCAGCUGUCAGUGGUAGCUCUGGCUCUGGUGAACCUGGAGCAUCCCUGGCGGCAUGGUUAUUAGAGCACAGUGUCUGGAACACAGAAGUUGCCGUGCAGUGCAAUUCAGUCUUGUGUGCUUACCGAGCGAGGACCCGGGGAGGCAAAGGUGACAGAGACGGGCUCAUGGCCUUGAAGGGGUUCGCAGUGCGGAUCUGAUGCCAGCCGAGCUCUGGAAGACCAUCAAACCGAGGGUGCUCAGAAAGAAGACAGUUCUGCGCAGGCCAUCAGCCACUAGAGCUUAAAGAGUCAGAAAAGUGUCGGUGGGGAGAUGAGGUGGGAGGAAGGGCAUUCUGACGGGAAGGCACUGGAAAGUGGACAAGCAAGGGCGCUGAGGUGGGCGGCUGUGCAGGGCUCUGGGCUCUGACUGUGGUGCCUGCAGCGCAGUGGUCACGGAGGGGCUUGCGUCUGGAAGGCAGGCUGGGCUCGCAGUGGAGGGUUUUAGGCUGUUAAGGGGUUUGCAGCUAACUACGUGUUUGAGCUAAAAAAAUGCAUUGUCCUUGAAUGACUUGAAGAAUCCAUCAGGAAGAUCGUAGCUUGUAAGGAGAAGACAAAUUUAAAAGAAGAUUUGUAAAAUGAGGAAGUAAAGCCAAGUUGAAUCGUGCCGGCAGCAUCACCUUCUUUGUUUCUGCUGGCAAAGGACUCUGUCAUUAAGUCAAAGCACUGCGGCAGCCGCCAUCAGAUUAAAAUUGUCAACAGAUUUCCAUGUGUAAUAGAACCUUUAAACUUUUUUUAUUGCUUAAAAAAGGAACAGGGUGCCAAAGCCACAGACUCACUGUUAUUAAGCUUUGGUAUUUGAGCCUGGCUACGUGAGGAAAUCAGCUAAAAUUUCCCCCAUCUGACCUUAUGUAGUCUGUCCAUAUCUGAACCUCCCGGCAGCUCCCUGUUACCCAAAGAAUAAUCUCCAAACUCUUCAGUGUGGUUUAUGUCUGCUUUACCCCACCAGCCUCUCCCCUCAUUACUCUUCCCGGUACCCCGCCCUCGGCCCACAGUGAGCACCUUGUGGGUGCUGGAACCGUGCUUUGCACCCACUCUCCUCCGUGCCUUUCCUCUCUAUCUUCUUGCCCUGGUUCAUUUCAUCCCAUCAUAUCCAAAACCCUGCUCCAAGGCCACUUGCUCAGAUAAGGCUUCCUGAGCUCUGUCUUGGGCAGUGCCCCUCAUUCGUUCUUGCAUGACAACCCGUGUCUAUCUUUAUCAUCUUAACUCUUCUGCCAUGUUGUAAUUGCUCAUUUAGCAGAAGAUCUCCACCUGCCCAUGAGACCCUCAGGGCAAGAACUGCCUCUCUCGGCCGUAUAUCUGGAGUGCCUAGAAUGUGUCGUAUGGACAAAAAGAGUUUCUGAACUGCAGAGGAGCAGUCCUAGAAGUCCAAGAUAUUGUAUUGUUUGCCUCAACAAGACCUUAAGAUCUUUCAGGACCCUGGAGACAGCAUCUAAUCUUAAGCACUUAGUAUGAAAGAAAUGGAAGAAUCCAUCCUGGGAAUGCGAAGGAUGGGGUCCUCUGGAGGAUUGAAGAAGCAUUGGCCUUGACCUAGGCCAGUGUGCAGACAUGGGCUUGGACCUGCUUUGGAGUCAGCUGGUCUACCUGCUAAACAUUCAGAUUUCUGAGCGCCUGCUUUGUAUUUCCUAAAUCAAACUCUUGGAGAACAGAGCCGGUGGUGGUGGUGGGGGGUGUUUUUAACAUGUUCCCCCUGGUGAUUCUGAUCCACCCUGAUGCAUGAGAACUCCUGAUGGAGACAAAGUCUUCAAUCAAUGAAAUAUCGGUAGUUGUAGGAUGGAAGGGGAGACUGAGAAGAAUCAAUGCAUAUUGACGUAGUUUUUAUAGUUCAAGAAUUCUCAGUAAGGAGUUCUUGUCAUUGCUCAUCAGAAAAGAAUCUGACUAGUAGCCACGAGGACGAGGGUUCAAUCCCUGGCCUCACUCAGUGGGUUAAGGAUCCGGUGUUGCCGUGAGCUGUGGUAUAGGUCGCAGAUGCGCCUCGGAUCUGGUAUAUGCUGUGGCAUAUAAAGCAGCUACAGCUCAGUUUGGAUCCCUAGCCUGGGAACCUCCAUAUGCCUGGGUGUGGCCCUAAAAAGACAACAACAAAAAGAAUUCUCAGCAAGAUUCGAACCCUUUGAGUAAACUGUAUACUAUGCCAGUUGUCACAGGACAGUGGCUUUGUCCUCUCUUUGGCUUCCUUCAUUCUAUGAUUUUUGAAACAUUUAUAACAAGGAACGGGACCAAGAUUUUCCGGUUAUCAUCUUAUCCUGCUUGGAUAUUGGAACAAAGGCCAUAGACACAAGGGAUCAGAGCAGCUUGACAGGUGAGGAGACGUAGUUAGAAGCACACCUGCUGUGGAGGGAGUCAGUGUCAUCUGUGUCCCUCAGGGUGCAAACAGAUAUAAACAGAAUGCUCUGUAGGACCCCUGAGGUAACAGGUCUGCCGGUGUUUUGCCUUCUGGUUCCAAAGAAUAAAUUGUAAAUUUACAGACAGGAGCUCUCAGCCUCCUGACCAUGGACUCCUCUCAGUCUGGAGAAGACGGGAGGAGUGUGAGGUGUGGGGGCUCUGAUGCCACUCAAGUCGGGGAGACCAGUGCCUUCCGCUGAGAACAGGAAAAAGAGGGGACGAGGGCAUCCAGCUGGGCUUUUCUGCUGUCUCUCAUUGUUCGAGACGGCUGACCUCUCUGCCACUGGCCCUUUCCUUCCUAGGAUGAACGGUAGUUGAGUUAUCACAGAGAGGGAAGCUCUGGACCACGUGGUGGCUGAAACGAAGGGGAGAUAGUGGUGGUCGCCCCCUGAUUGGGGUGGGGAUGGAAAGGCUUAGUGGUGAAGCCCUGCUCAAAAUAAUGCUGUCACCAUUAGACAAAAAACAUCAACAGAUAGUAGAAGCACGGCUCUGAAACUCCCCUCACCUUUGAAACUAAAGACAGAGAGAAAAAUUGGCCUAUGUUGCCAGCUCGCUAAUGAGAAGAUUAAGGGAUGGGACUCUGAUGACUCAGCAGCUGUCAUCUAUUUCUUCAUUUAAUUUAUUUUUUAGAAUUUGAAAUUGAUGAUGAGACAGAAAAACCUUGACAUUAAAUUGAUCCAGAAGCAAAGAAAGAAAUUUUUGUAAGUGUUUUUUUAGCUGUUUUUCCCAACCCUAAAGGUAAAAGAGGCAAAUUCUUUUUCUUCUUCUUUUCACACAUAUAUGUAUUUAUAUUUUGCUUUAUAUAUACAUAUAUGAUGUAUUUAUAUUUCACUUUAAAUUUUUUCCUUCAAUAUAAAAUGGCUUUAGCAAGUACAGGAUUCUAAUAGCAUUGUAAGACUCUCAUAAUGAAAUUGUAAUCUUUGACAAUGACAAAUUUGCAAGACUUAGCAAGAUGUGAUAAUUCAUAUUGAUUGAGCAGUGACUUUGAAACUCAUUUGGCCUGAAGUAAUUGAGAGAAAGUUCUGUAUGACAGAAGUAUAUCUCAGCUCUCACUUUACCUUUUGAUGCAUCUAACUUCUUGCUCAUACAAGAGCAAGAACAGAAUAAGUAAGUCAGGCAAAAGUCUCUACUAGAAAAUAGAAGCCCUGACUUAAGAAAACUCUUUGU